UUUUGCUUUAUUAUAUAUAGUAUAAAAAAUUUCCAAUUUUUAAGUCUCAAUUUGAGAAGCAAAAA
Molecule: transfer RNA, 65 nt
Filed under: Symsagittifera roscoffensis
Lineage: Eukaryota; Metazoa; Xenacoelomorpha; Acoela; Convolutidae
Description: tRNA-Gly
Source: RNAcentral